GUCAAUCAUCAUGCAUUCAUGUUUCAGCCAACACAAUAAACACCUUAAACUACUAACAUCAAGCAACGUCACAUCACAACAACCACCACCACCAUCAAUCGCCACCAUCAUAACAGUCACUACAAUACCAACCAUCACAAUUAUCACCACCAACAAUAUUAAUCACUAACAUCAAUCAUUGUCACCACAACCACCAUUAUAAG
Molecule: long non-coding RNA, 203 nt
Filed under: Capsicum annuum
Lineage: Eukaryota; Viridiplantae; Streptophyta; Magnoliopsida; Solanales; Solanaceae
Description: long non-coding RNA (CANN_LNC003090)
Source: RNAcentral